UACGGAGGGUGCGAGCGUUAAUCGGAAUUAUUGGGCGUAAAGCGCGCGCAGGCGGCCUUUUAAGUCUGAUGUGAAAGCCCACGGCUCAACCGUGGAAGGUCAUUGGAAACUGAAAGGCUUGAGUACAGAAGAGGAAAGCGGAAUUCCACGUGUAGCGGUGAAAUGCGUAGAGAUGUGGAGGAACACCAGUGGCGAAGGCGGCUUUCUGGUCUGUAACUGACGCUGAGGCGCGAAAGCGUGGAGAGCAAACAGG
RNAcentral lists this ribosomal RNA (253 nucleotides) under uncultured bacterium. RNAcentral's name for it is "partial 16S ribosomal RNA". It matches the Rfam family "Bacterial small subunit ribosomal RNA", at positions 524 to 776 of the family's 1533-position model. The record is from RNAcentral.